UACGAAGGGGGCUAGCGUUGCUCGGAAUCACUGGGCGUAAAGGGUGCGUAGGCGGGUCUUUAAGUCAGGGGUGAAAUCCUGGAGCUCAACUCCAGAACUGCCUUUGAUACUGCAAAUCUCGAGUCCGGAAGAGGUGAGUGGAAUUCCUAGUGUAGAGGUGAAAUUCGUAGAUAUUGGGAAGAACACCGGUGGCGAAGGCGGCCUGCUGGGCAGUGGCUGACGCUGAGGCGCGACAGCGUGGGGAGCAAACAGG
RNAcentral lists this ribosomal RNA (253 nucleotides) under uncultured bacterium. RNAcentral's name for it is "partial 16S ribosomal RNA". It matches the Rfam family "Bacterial small subunit ribosomal RNA", at positions 524 to 776 of the family's 1533-position model. The record is from RNAcentral.